CCUACGGGAGGCAGCAGUGAGGAAUAUUGGUCAAUGGGCGCGAGCCUGAACCAGCCAAGUCGCGUGAGGGAAGACGGUCCUAUGGAUUGUAAACCUCUUUGGUCGGGGAGCAAAAGACGCCACGCGUGGCGUUCCGAGAGUACCCGAAGAAAAAGCAUCGGCUAACUCCGUGCCAGCAGCCGCGGUAAUACGGAGGAUGCGAGCGUUAUCCGGAUUUAUGGGGUUUAAAGGGUUCGCAGGCGGAAGAUCAAGCCAGCGGUAAAAUUGGGAGGCCCAACCUCUUCGAGCCGUUGAAACUGGUUUUCUUGAGUGAGUGAGAAGUAUGCGGAAUGCGUGGUGUAGCGGUGAAAUGCAUAGAUAUCACGCAGAACUCCGAUUGCGAAGGCAGCAUACCGGCGCUCAACUGACGCUCAUGCACGAAAGUGUGGGUAUCGAACAGGAUUAGAUACCCUUGUAGUC
This 459-nucleotide ribosomal RNA is filed under the name uncultured bacterium. Its description in RNAcentral is "partial 16S ribosomal RNA". It matches the Rfam family "Bacterial small subunit ribosomal RNA", at positions 338 to 795 of the family's 1533-position model. The record is from RNAcentral.